UGGGUAUAGGAUACUAAUAGUGCAAGUCAUGUUGGCAAAUAGUUAUAAAAAACUUCAGGAUAGUAGAAGGUUUGAAAAUGGCAAGAGACUCUUAAAGGUAAGAAAUGGAAGUAUGUUCCAGUCUCAACAUUAGGAAUCAUCGAACUUGUUUUCAAUCCUAAAAAUAUCAUUUUAAGUGAUUGUCACUAUUAUCCAAUCUUAUUGAUGGUGUC
RNAcentral lists this long non-coding RNA (212 nucleotides) under Elaeis guineensis (African oil palm). RNAcentral describes it as "long non-coding RNA (EGUI_LNC059004)". Lineage: Eukaryota; Viridiplantae; Streptophyta; Magnoliopsida; Arecales; Arecaceae. The record is from RNAcentral.